This 503-nucleotide ribosomal RNA is filed under the name uncultured bacterium. RNAcentral describes it as "bacterial SSU rRNA". It matches the Rfam family "Bacterial small subunit ribosomal RNA", at positions 15 to 507 of the family's 1533-position model. The record is from RNAcentral.
GAUCCUGGCUCAGGAUGAACGCUAGCUACAGGCUUAACACAUGCAAGUCGAGGGGCAGCAUGAACUUAGCUUGCUAAGUUUGAUGGCGACCGGCGCACGGGUGAGUAACACGUAUCCAACCUUCCGUUUACUCAGGGAUAGCCUUUCGAAAGAAAGAUUAAUACCUGAUAGUAUGGUGAGAUUGCAUGAUAACACCAUUAAAGAUUUAUUGGUAAACGAUGGGGAUGCGUUCCAUUAGGUAGUAGGCGGGGUAACGGCCCACCUAGCCUGCGAUGGAUAGGGGUUCUGAGAGGAAGGUCCCCCACACUGGUACUGAGACACGGACCAGACUCCUACGGGAGGCAGCAGUGAGGAAUAUUGGUCAAUGGGCGAGAGCCUGAACCAGCCAAGUCGCGUGGAGGAAGACGGCCCUACGGGUUGUAAACUCCUUUUACCUGGGAAUAACGGGCGCUACGCGUAGCGCUGUGCAUGUACCGGGAGAAUAAGCAUCGGCUAAUUCCGUG